This 270-nucleotide ribosomal RNA is filed under the name Salmonella enterica subsp. enterica serovar Enteritidis str. P125109. RNAcentral's name for it is "partial 16S ribosomal RNA". It matches the Rfam family "Bacterial small subunit ribosomal RNA", at positions 1 to 264 of the family's 1533-position model. The record is from RNAcentral. Lineage: Bacteria; Pseudomonadati; Pseudomonadota; Gammaproteobacteria; Enterobacterales; Enterobacteriaceae.
UUAAUGAGAGUUUGAUCCUGGCUCAGGACGAACGCUGGCGGCGUGCCUAAUACAUGCAAGUAGAACGCUGAAGGAGGAGCUUGCUUCUCUGGAUGAGUUGCGAACGGGUGAGUAACGCGUAGGUAACCUGCCUGGUAGCGGGGGAUAACUAUUGGAAACGAUAGCUAAUACCGCAUAAUAGUAGAUGUUGCAUGACAUUUGCUUAAAAGGUGCAAUUGCAUCACUACCAGAUGGACCUGCGUUGUAUUAGCUAGUUGGUGAGGUAACGGC